RNAcentral lists this ribosomal RNA (401 nucleotides) under uncultured bacterium. RNAcentral's name for it is "bacterial SSU rRNA". It matches the Rfam family "Bacterial small subunit ribosomal RNA", at positions 356 to 773 of the family's 1533-position model. The record is from RNAcentral.
AGGGAAUAUUGCACAAUGGGCGAAAGCCUGAUGCAGCAACGCCGCGUGAGGGAUGAAGGUCUUCGGAUUGUAAACCUCUUUUCUAAGGGACGAGAAGGGACGGUACCUUAGGAAUAAGCAACGGCUAACUACGUGCCAGCAGCCGCGGUAAUACGUAGGUUGCGAGCGUUAUUCGGAUUUACUGGGCGUAAAGCGCACCGAGGUGGCUUCUUAAGUUGGAUGUAAAAUCUCCCGGCUUAACUGGGAGGCGCCAUUCAAUACUGAGGAGCUUGAGGUCAGCAGGGGAAGGUGGAAUUCCCGGUGUAGUGGUGGAAUGCGUAGAGAUCGGGAGGAACACCAGUGGCGAAAGCGACCUUCUGGGCUGCACCUGACACUCUAGUGCGAAAGCGUGGGGAGCAAAC